UACAGAGGUCCCAAGCGUUGUUCGGAUUCACUGGGCGUAAAGGGUGCGUAGGUGGUUGGGCAAGUCUGAUGUGAAAUCUCCGGGCUUAACCCGGAAAUGGCAUUGGAAACUGCCCGGCUAGAGUGUUGGAGGGGGGACUGGAAUUCUCGGUGUAGCAGUGAAAUGCGUAGAUAUCGAGAGGAACACCAGUGGCGAAGGCGAGUCCCUGGACAACCACUGACACUGAGGCACGAAAGCUAGGGGAGCAAACAGG
Molecule: ribosomal RNA, 253 nt
Filed under: uncultured bacterium
Lineage: Bacteria
Description: partial 16S ribosomal RNA
Rfam family: Bacterial small subunit ribosomal RNA
Source: RNAcentral